Molecule: long non-coding RNA, 1121 nt
Filed under: Coffea arabica (coffee)
Lineage: Eukaryota; Viridiplantae; Streptophyta; Magnoliopsida; Gentianales; Rubiaceae
Description: long non-coding RNA (CARA_LNC001292)
Source: RNAcentral
CGGGCCUUACAUUGUGGAUUAUUUGUUGAUGUGCAAUGUAUGAAUUUAAGAACUAGCAAAAGUAAUAACCAAGUUUCAUAUCUUCUUUUCAUCGAGUUUGAAAUUUGUGUCACCUUUCACCUUUUUAAUACCUUCAUUGAUCUUUCUUUGCAUGUUAAUUUAGCCAUUACGUUAUUAAGAUUUUACCUGUAGGCAAGUUUGUGGUAGCGGUAUGAGUGAGGGGAAGCUUUUGAGAAGUAUCGUGUAGAAUCGAGUUUUGUGAGCAAAGGUUAGAAUUUCGAGAAUGAAAUUCUUUUAGAAGGGAGAGAGUGUGAGGGCUCAAAAAUUUUGUUCUUAUAUUUUUGUUAUAAUUUUCCUUAUUUCGAAAUAAGUUAAUUUAUACUUUCUUUUGGUUUCAUUCACUUGCCUUAAUUUCUUGAAUACUUAACGAUUGUGUCAAGAGUUUAUCUUUUAUAUUUUGGUACAUGUUAAGUUUCACAGUAUCUUGGGAGAAAAGGAGUUCAGUGCAAUUGGAGAGAAUUAAACUAAAUGAAAAUAGACAUUAAGGGAAAACUUGACAAGUGUCAUCAUUGGAACCAAGAGUUUUUAGUUAAAGAUUUCAAGGGCUAAGUUGACCUUAUCAUUUUCAUUUCUUUUCGUGCAAAAAAGAAAACACAAACAAACAAUAGAGAGAGAGAGGGGGCCGAAAUUGAGUCAACAGAGUGAGGAUUUGUUAGUGAAAGUAGCAUUUUCACACAAUUAUUAGCAAUCUGGAAAUUUCGAUGGAAGCUCUAUACAGUUUUGGAAAAUUUGCUAUAAUUUCUAUAGAAAAGUUGGAAUUAAGUUCCGUUCACUGCGUUUGAAACUAGACUUAGAGAGCUUUCUAACGGUAUAAAAUUUGAGUGGUGGUUCGUUUGAUAUACACACCAGAACAUUGACAAAAUUGACUGAAAAUUUUACCCCGCACAAGUAAAAAACUGGAAUGUUGCAGUAGUUUGCGACUCAAUUUAGACCAAUUUAUGAACUGAAUCUCUUUAAGAUGUUUUCUAAAGAUUUCUAGUUUUCAAUGGGGCAAGUUGUAUCAUUUUUCGACAAUUAUAACUCAAGUUAUGAUUUUUCAAAGGAAUGAUACUUGUUGAAAU